This 433-nucleotide ribosomal RNA is filed under the name uncultured Selenomonas sp. RNAcentral describes it as "bacterial SSU rRNA". It matches the Rfam family "Bacterial small subunit ribosomal RNA", at positions 355 to 780 of the family's 1533-position model. Lineage: Bacteria; Bacillati; Bacillota; Negativicutes; Selenomonadales; Selenomonadaceae. The record is from RNAcentral.
UGGGGAAUCUUCCGCAAUGGGCGAAAGCCUGACGGAGCAACGCCGCGUGAGUGAAGAAGGCCUUCGGGUCGUAAAGCUCUGUUGUCGGGGACGAAUGUAGCGCUUAUCGACAACGAGUGCUAAUGACGGUACCUGACGAGGAAGCCACGGCUAACUACGUGCCAGCAGCCGCGGUAAUACGUAGGUGGCGAGCGUUGUCCGGAAUUAUUGGGCGUAAAGGGAGCGCAGGCGGGAGGCCAAGUCCAUCCUAAAAGUUCGGGGCUCAACCCCGUGAGGGGAUGGAAACUGGUCUUCUUGAGUGCAGGAGAGGAAAGCGGAAUUCCUAGUGUAGCGGUGAAAUGCGUAGAUAUUAGGAGGAACACCAGUGGCGAAGGCGGCUUUCUGGACUGUAACUGACGCUGAGGCUCGAAAGCCAGGGGAGCGAACGGGAUUA